UAAGCGACUAAGCGUACACGGUGGAUGCCCUGGCAGUCAGAGGCGAUGAAGGACGUGCUAAUCUGCGAUAAGCGUCGGUAAGGUGAUAUGAACCGUUAUAACCGGCGAUUUCCGAAUGGGGAAACCUAGUGUGAUUCGUCACACUAUCAUUAACUGAAUCCAUAGGUUAAUGAGGCGAACCGGGGGAACUGAAACAUCUAAGUACCCCGAGGAAAAGAAAUCAACCGAGAUUCCCCCAGUAGCGGCGAGCGAACGGGGAGCAGCCCAGAGCCUGAAUCAGUGUGUGUGUUAGUGGAAGCGUCUGGAAAGGCGCGCGAUACAGGGUGACAGCCCCGUACACAAAAAUGCACAUGCUGUGAGCUCGAUGAGUAGGGCGGGACACGUGGUAUCCUGUCUGAAUAUGGGGGGACCAUCCUCCAAGGCUAAAUACUCCUGACUGACCGAUAGUGAACCAGUACCGUGAGGGCAAGGCGAAAAGAACCCCGGCGAGGGGAGUGAAAAAGAACCUGAAACCGUGUACGUACAAGCAGUGGGAGCCUCUUUUAUGGGGUGACUGCGUACCUUUUGUAUAAUGGGUCAGCGACUUAUAUUCUGUAGCAAGGUUAACCGAAUAGGGGAGCCGAAGGGAAACCGAGUCUUAACUGGGCGUUAAGUUGCAGGGUAUAGACCCGAAACCCGGUGAUCUAGCCAUGGGCAGGUUGAAGGUUGGGUAACACUAACUGGAGGACCGAACCGACUAAUGUUGAAAAUUAGCGGAUGACUUGUGGCUGGGGGUGAAAGGCCAAUCAAACCGGGAGAUAGCUGGUUCUCCCCGAAAGCUAUUUAGGUAGCGCCUCGUGAAUUCAUCUCCGGGGGUAGAGCACUGUUUCGGCAAGGGGGUCAUCCCGACUUACCAACCCGAUGCAAACUGCGAAUACCGGAGAAUGUUAUCACGGGAGACACACGGCGGGUGCUAACGUCCGUCGUGAAGAGGGAAACAACCCAGACCGCCAGCUAAGGUCCCAAAGUCAUGGUUAAGUGGGAAACGAUGUGGGAAGGCCCAGACAGCCAGGAUGUUGGCUUAGAAGCAGCCAUCAUUUAAAGAAAGCGUAAUAGCUCACUGGUCGAGUCGGCCUGCGCGGAAGAUGUAACGGGGCUAAACCAUGCACCGAAGCUGCGGCAGCGACACUGUGUGUUGUUGGGUAGGGGAGCGUUCUGUAAGCCUGUGAAGGUGUGCUGUGAGGUAUGCUGGAGGUAUCAGAAGUGCGAAUGCUGACAUAAGUAACGAUAAAGCGGGUGAAAAGCCCGCUCGCCGGAAGACCAAGGGUUCCUGUCCAACGUUAAUCGGGGCAGGGUGAGUCGACCCCUAAGGCGAGGCCGAAAGGCGUAGUCGAUGGGAAACAGGUUAAUAUUCCUGUACUUGGUGUUACUGCGAAGGGGGACGGAGAAGGCUAUGUUGGCCGGGCGACGGUUGUCCCGGUUUAAGCGUGUAGGCUGGUUUUCCAGGCAAAUCCGGAAAAUCAAGGCUGAGGCGUGAUGACGAGGCACUACGGUGCUGAAGCAACAAAUGCCCUGCUUCCAGGAAAAGCCUCUAAGCAUCAGGUAACAUCAAAUCGUACCCCAAACCGACACAGGUGGUCAGGUAGAGAAUACCAAGGCGCUUGAGAGAACUCGGGUGAAGGAACUAGGCAAAAUGGUGCCGUAACUUCGGGAGAAGGCACGCUGAUAUGUAGGUGAAGUCCCUCGCGGAUGGAGCUGAAAUCAGUCGAAGAUACCAGCUGGCUGCAACUGUUUAUUAAAAACACAGCACUGUGCAAACACGAAAGUGGACGUAUACGGUGUGACGCCUGCCCGGUGCCGGAAGGUUAAUUGAUGGGGUCAGCGCAAGCGAAGCUCUUGAUCGAAGCCCAGGUAAACGGCGGCCGUAACUAUAACGGUCCUAAGGUAGCGAAAUUCCUUGUCGGGUAAGUUCCGACCUGCACGAAUGGCGUAAUGAUGGCCAGGCUGUCUCCACCCGAGACUCAGUGAAAUUGAACUCGCUGUGAAGAUGCAGUGUACCCGCGGCAAGACGGAAAGACCCCGUGAACCUUUACUAUAGCUUGACACUGAACAUUGAGCCUUGAUGUGUAGGAUAGGUGGGAGGCUUUGAAGUGUGGACGCCAGUCUGCAUGGAGCCGACCUUGAAAUACCACCCUUUAAUGUUUGAUGUUCUAACGUGGACCCGUGAUCCGGGUUGCGGACAGUGUCUGGUGGGUAGUUUGACUGGGGCGGUCUCCUCCUAAAGAGUAACGGAGGAGCACGAAGGUUGGCUAAUCCUGGUCGGACAUCAGGAGGUUAGUGCAAUGGCAUAAGCCAGCUUGACUGCGAGCGUGACGGCGCGAGCAGGUGCGAAAGCAGGUCAUAGUGAUCCGGUGGUUCUGAAUGGAAGGGCCAUCGCUCAACGGAUAAAAGGUACUCCGGGGAUAACAGGCUGAUACCGCCCAAGAGUUCAUAUCGACGGCGGUGUUUGGCACCUCGAUGUCGGCUCAUCACAUCCUGGGGCUGAAGUAGGUCCCAAGGGUAUGGCUGUUCGCCAUUUAAAGUGGUACGCGAGCUGGGUUUAGAACGUCGUGAGACAGUUCGGUCCCUAUCUGCCGUGGGCGCUGGAGAACUGAGGGGGGCUGCUCCUAGUACGAGAGGACCGGAGUGGACGCAUCACUGGUGUUCGGGUUGUCAUGCCAAUGGCACUGCCCGGUAGCUAAAUGCGGAAGAGAUAAGUGCUGAAAGCAUCUAAGCACGAAACUUGCCCCGAGAUGAGUUCUCCCUGACCCUUUAAGGGUCCUGAAGGAACGUUGAAGACGACGACGUUGAUAGGCCGGGUGUGUAAGCGCAGCGAUGCGUUGAGCUAACCGGUACUAAUGAACCGUGAGGCUUAACCU
This 2897-nucleotide ribosomal RNA is filed under the name Escherichia coli DEC3F. RNAcentral's name for it is "bacterial LSU rRNA". It matches the Rfam family "Bacterial large subunit ribosomal RNA". Lineage: Bacteria; Pseudomonadati; Pseudomonadota; Gammaproteobacteria; Enterobacterales; Enterobacteriaceae. The record is from RNAcentral.